This 253-nucleotide ribosomal RNA is filed under the name uncultured bacterium. RNAcentral's name for it is "partial 16S ribosomal RNA". It matches the Rfam family "Bacterial small subunit ribosomal RNA", at positions 524 to 776 of the family's 1533-position model. The record is from RNAcentral.
UACGUAGGGUGCGAGCGUUGUCCGGAAUUACUGGGCGUAAAGAGCUCGUAGGCGGCUUGUCGCGUCGACUGUGAAAUCCCGCGGCUCAACUGCGGGUCUGCAGUCGAUACGGGCAGGCUAGAGUUCGGUAGGGGAGACUGGAAUUCCUGGUGUAGCGGUGAAAUGCGCAGAUAUCAGGAGGAACACCGAUGGCGAAGGCAGGUCUCUGGGCCGAUACUGACGCUGAGGAGCGAAAGCGUGGGGAGCGAACAGG